UACGUAGGGUGCGAGCGUUAAUCGGAAUUACUGGGCGUAAAGCGUGCGCAGGCGGUUUUGUAAGCCAGAUGUGAAAUCCCCGGGCUUAACCUGGGAAUGGCAUUUGGGACUGCAAGGCUGGAGUGCGGCAGAGGAGACUGGAAUUCCUGGUGUAGCAGUGAAAUGCGUAGAUAUCAGGAGGAACACCGAUGGCGAAGGCAGGUCUCUGGGCUGACACUGACGCUGAGACGCGAAAGCGUGGGGAGCGAACAGG
This 253-nucleotide ribosomal RNA is filed under the name uncultured bacterium. RNAcentral describes it as "partial 16S ribosomal RNA". It matches the Rfam family "Bacterial small subunit ribosomal RNA", at positions 524 to 776 of the family's 1533-position model. The record is from RNAcentral.